Molecule: non-coding RNA, 197 nt
Filed under: Aquamicrobium sp. LC103
Lineage: Bacteria; Pseudomonadati; Pseudomonadota; Alphaproteobacteria; Hyphomicrobiales; Phyllobacteriaceae
Also listed under: 1 other name
Source: RNAcentral
UGGCUAGGAACGGUUGUCGGUUUCCGUAAGGAAAUAACAGGGAAUUCGGCGCGGCUUUCAUCGGCUGCGAAACGAAACUGCCCCCGCAACUGUAGGCGGAAAGUCCAUCUCGAUCAUGCCACUGGGAUUAGCCCCGGGAAGGCCGAGACAGACGAUGACCCGUCAGUCAGGAGACCUACCGACACCCGUAACUAAAC